RNAcentral lists this ribosomal RNA (332 nucleotides) under uncultured eukaryote. RNAcentral's name for it is "partial 18S ribosomal RNA". It matches the Rfam family "Eukaryotic small subunit ribosomal RNA", at positions 1470 to 1796 of the family's 1831-position model. The record is from RNAcentral.
CCCUUAGAUGUCCUGGGCUGCACGCGCGCUACACUGGAAGUUACGGAUUGAGAUACUACCUUGUCCGAAAUGGUCCGGGUAAUCACCUAAAAGCUUGUCAUAAUUGGAAUGGAUUAUUGUAACUAGUAAUCCUGAACGAGGAAUUCCUAGUAAGUCCCAGUCAACAGCUGGUACUGAUUACGUCCCUGCCCUUUGUACACACCGCCUGUCGCUACUACUGAUUGGACGUUUAAGCAAGAUUUUUAAACACUGACAGUGUGUAGUUCACGCUAUACUACAGUGAGAAGAAGAAGAUCGAGCUUACUUGUCUAGAGGAAGUAAAAGUCGUAACA